This 575-nucleotide ribosomal RNA is filed under the name Fusarium lateritium. Its description in RNAcentral is "eukaryotic LSU rRNA". The stretch from base 208 to 361 matches the Rfam family "5.8S ribosomal RNA". Lineage: Eukaryota; Fungi; Ascomycota; Sordariomycetes; Hypocreales; Nectriaceae. The record is from RNAcentral.
GAGGAAGUAAAAGUCGUAACAAGGUCUCCGUUGGUGAACCAGCGGAGGGAUCAUUACCGAGUUUACAACUCCCAAACCCCUGUGAACAUACCUUAAUGUUGCCUCGGCGGAUCAGCCCGCUCCCCGUAAAACGGGACGGCCCGCCAGAGGACCCAAACUCUAAUGUUUCUUAUUGUAACUUCUGAGUAAAACAAACAAAUAAAUCAAAACUUUCAACAACGGAUCUCUUGGUUCUGGCAUCGAUGAAGAACGCAGCAAAAUGCGAUAAGUAAUGUGAAUUGCAGAAUUCAGUGAAUCAUCGAAUCUUUGAACGCACAUUGCGCCCGCUGGUAUUCCGGCGGGCAUGCCUGUUCGAGCGUCAUUUCAACCCUCAAGCCCCCGGGUUUGGUGUUGGGGAUCGGCUCUGCCUCACGGCGGUGCCGCCCCCGAAAUACAUUGGCGGUCUCGCUGCAGCCUCCAUUGCGUAGUAGCUAACACCUCGCAACUGGAACGCGGCGCGGCCAUGCCGUAAAACCCCAACUUCUGAAUGUUGACCUCGGAUCAGGUAGGAAUACCCGCUGAACUUAAGCAUAUCA